GACGAACCGUGCGAACGUUGUUCGGAAUCACUAGGCUUAAAGGGCGCGUAGGCGGGUGACCAAGUCCUGGGUGAAAUCUUUCGGCUUAACCGGAAAAGUGCCUGAGAUACUGGUCAUCUGGAGGGAGGUAGGGGCAGCUGGAACUUCCGGUGGAGCGGUGAAAUGCGUUGAUAUCGGAAGGAACGCCGGUGGCGAAAGCGAGCUGCUGGACCUCUUCUGACGCUGAGGCGCGAAAGCCAGGGGAGCAAACGGG
RNAcentral lists this ribosomal RNA (253 nucleotides) under uncultured bacterium. RNAcentral describes it as "partial 16S ribosomal RNA". It matches the Rfam family "Bacterial small subunit ribosomal RNA", at positions 524 to 776 of the family's 1533-position model. The record is from RNAcentral.